Molecule: long non-coding RNA, 4647 nt
Organism: Lolium perenne
Lineage: Eukaryota; Viridiplantae; Streptophyta; Magnoliopsida; Poales; Poaceae
Source: RefSeq, a predicted model, not a curated record
CACAUAUAUAAGGGUUCGUGGCGUGGCUGCGGCAGCGCUUCGACGAGUUCGUCGCGGCGCUCGUCGAGCUCAGCGUUCCGCCCUGCAGCGACGACGCAAUCAGGGAAGUUGCGUUCGAUGCGUUUAUGGACUUCGUGAAGCUGGGGAAGGACGGGAGGUUCCACUCGGCGAUUUACCACAAGUUUCUCCAUGCUGUGGUGGCCUGUGGGUGCUCCUUCCUCUUGUUAUUGCUUUACAUCUUUGUGAGGUUAGGAAAUAUGAUUAAGGUUUCCUAAUACUUCGGGGAUGUAAGAACAAACUUGGUUUCCGUAUCCCGUUUGUAUGUGACCUAGUAGCAUGUUUACUGGAGCCAGAUCCUUGAAAAACAUGUUUCCCUUAAGACUUCAAUUGAGUAGAAUUGGGGAUAUUGCUACUUUAGUUGAUGGAAUACUCUUGCAAUGCGCUCAUUUUUCUCCAAUUCCUCCUGCAGUUAUUGUUAAACCUUUGUGGAAAAAAAAGGCUACACAGGAUCUCAAUGAUGUGAUAAAUGAUAACCAUUUCUUCUAUUCAGAAUGCUACAAUAUAUUGGUGCUGCGAUUUUCCACUCCAGACAUGUGACCUGAAUUUUCCCCUUUCGUAUGGACAAAUUAUUUAAUUUGCUUGAGCUACAGUUUAGAUGACCACUGCUUAGUCCAUGUUGAGGUAAGAAAUUUGUAUCCUGCAGUCCUGCUUCUUCCUUUAUGUAUCAAGCAAAUUUCAUGCUUAUUUGCAGCUAUAUGCAUUUCAUGGUUUCUCUUUCUUAUGUUAGUGUAGUUUUGCCCGCUAAAACUUACAGUCUGCACUGCUCAUCAAUUUAUAAUGUUAAAAGGCUGACAUUCAUUUUGAUGAAGAAGUCUAUUUCAAGUGAGGGCAUGAAUGUACUCAUUCUUUUAUGUUAGAUGGGUUUUCAGCUUAUUUGAUUUUGUACAAUAUACUUGCAUUCUGAGCACUGAUCUAUUGGUUAAUUCUUUCACAUCUGAUUACUAUGCCUUUUAGUUUAACUGUGAUUUCCCACGCAUGUUUCGAACUUACCUAGCUCCCGCAACAGAAACGCAUUUGCAGGACUGAAGGGAAAGCUUUUCUUUCGACACAUAGUGCCCAGCAUUGAUCAUUCCACCUGAUUUGUAUGAGAUACCUGUAUUGUUCAGUACCCUCCACGUGGCCUAUUCGGUGUACGAUCAGAAGAUCUACCUGCUGGGUUUCUUUUAUAUUUUGUUUGAGCGACAACAUAGGCUAUCAUAUUGAACUUAGUGGAACUACAAAUUAAUACUAGAGCGAAUACUAGACCAUGAUGACAGAGUAAAAUUCAAAAAUGAAGUAACAAAUUAGCUUGGCGAUUGAAAGAGGACAGUGAAUAGCAACCAUGGACCAAUGUACUGUUCGGUUUAGUACGUCCAUUGUUUACAAUGCUGUGCUAUUCAAUUAUACCUAUGAAAUAGUUCUUAUAACGUUCCCUGUUUCUGUCUUUGAAUCAUCAAUAUGUCUUUAGAAGAUACUAUUUAGCUGGAUUAAGCUCACAUUUAGUUUGUAAACAUAUGACUGAGGAUAGUUUUGAACUGAACAUUAGUGAAGUGCUUGCAGUGGAUGGUCUGUGUGAUUGUAUUUUAAGUUGGCAUGCACUAUUUCAUGUAAAUUAGUGGGCUUGCCGUUAAUGUGCUUAUACCUAUAUGUUUUUUUUGGUUCUGUUUGGUUGUGGAGGAGAUAUUUGAUUUAAGUCCAAGUAUUUAUAUUCUAUUUGGUAAAUUUUGAUACAUAUACGGUGGCCACCUCGGAUAUGAAUAGCUUUUGAAGAAGUUACUUCACCGGAUGAAACAUUAUCAUUACUUAUUAAAUAGACAUGUUAGGUAUAUCUAGGAUAUAAUUAUUUGUAUAUUUUGGUGAAGGUAAUCUAUUUGAAACAUAUUAUAACAAUUAAAAUCCAUUAUGUAGCAAAAAAGCAUUUGGUCAAGCUACUGAUGGCCGCUUGCCAUUGCUUGUUGAUACUACUGCUAGCUUGUUGAUGCUACUGUUGGCUGCUCAUGAAGGAUGUAUGCUCUUUCAUGUGUAGAUGAACAACGGCAGCAGUGCUGGGAUUUGUCUAGAUUGAUUUGGUUGUAUCAAACGUGUGCUUUAAAUAGACAGAUACAAUGAAGAUGUAGAAAAUAUGAGAAAUAAAUUUAUUUGCUUAGUAAUUUGUUAUACUGAAUUUGGAUAGUUCAAAUAAGAGAUGUUAUUCGAUUGUGAUGUCUAAUAUUAUGCUAUCAACAGGAAUUGAGUCAACAUAUAAUCAAGAUUGGAAGAUUAGGGUGUUCUGCCACAUGAUAAGAUUUUGUUAAAAAAACAUAUACCAAAGGGGGAGUUUCCUUUAUUAAGAGAAGUCAAUUUUACAAAAUAUAAGAUAUCUGAUAUUCCAGAAUUCGUCCAUCAGAGAGUCGUAGAAGAUGAAAAAUCAGGUUGUUCUUCAAAUAGUGAUCUUUCUCUUAUUUAGAAAUAUAGUAUACUUGAUUUGUGUCAUCACUGCAGAGACAUGGAUUUUAGAUACAAAGUUUGUAGGUAUUUUUGUGUACACUGUAGGCUGCAGUUCCAGUUGGUAGUGGCAGAAUUAACCAUUGGCCAGAUGGUGGAGCGGGGCACUAUUUUUGUUAUGGAUGCUUCUCUUGUGUUGGCCCCUAUUUCACACAAAUAAAUGCUUACUAAUACUAGAUAUCUAGAGGAAACAAGCCGGUCUAGGUAAACAUAUAGCCACACAUACAUACCCUUAGGAUUCAUGAUAUUAUUGGAGCUCAUCAACGUACUUCUCUGUAGCUCAUUUUCUUUCUUGAACUGACAGGUGUAGAAUUCUGUUUUCUUACAUUUCAAAGUUAUAUUCACAUUUGUUGGACUGCUCAUGUUCUGAGUAUUUUUUCCUUUUGGGAAACCUACAGAUCCCUGUCUUGAAUAAUUAUGAUCAGAUUGAGUCAUUCUCUACUUUCAACAUUAUGUGCAACAAUUUAGAUCUUUUGGAAAUUCAUGCAACCACUGUAAGCUUCUCAGGGAAGAUAACCUCUAAUUUGUUCGUCUUUCUAAACUCAUGCAAUAGACACAAUUAAGAAGUUCUUGUUUAUAGUGGAUAUUACCACUUGUGAUUUUUGUAGUGAUAUUUCCAAUAUGAUUCUCAUGCUUAUGCAAUUUCCAUACCUCUCUCUUUCUUUUCUAAUCAGUUAAUCUAGAUUUGUGCAUACGUAUUACAUGAUUGUACAUGGAAGUGUUCUGCUGUUACUGAGUAUGUCAUCUAAUUUGUAAAUUUUUACUUGCAGACUAGGUGAAUAAUAUCUCAUGCUAGAAUAUUUUAAGCAUGAAUAUACAAAACUUAGGAAUACAUGCAUACUUUUAUCUGUUUAAGAAAAAUAUUUUCCUAUACGAAGUAGUAGGUUACCCUUGGAAAAGAAUGAAACAGUACUUUGUUUGAUUAUAAUUACGAGCACGAUAAUGUCUAUGCCUUUCAUGUCUUGUCCUGUUUCCCAGUCUUGUUGUAGGCAAAGUUAGUGGUUAACUAGCCAUAGUUGGUUUCAAUCUUCUUUAGUUUGAUGCACUGAUAUAUGUUGCAGCUGCUUAUACCUCAUUUUGGAAAUUAUUUGCUUGGAAUGCAACCUAUGUGGUUUGUCUGGCCCAAAUGCUGCAUUUGAAGGCUUCACUUGUGUUUCCUUGAUUGGGACGCUAAGGGCUGACAAGGAGGCGCCCCGGCCACUAGUGUAUAUCAUAUUAUUAUUUGAAUUGGUAGCUAAUCAAGCUGUUCUGUAAUUCUGUCUUACAUUGAAUUAAUAUAUGAAAUAUUCUGAUCAAUUCAGAACUGGGAAAGUUUCUGAAAACUAUACGGACAUACACAGUUAAAGUACUAUAUGGAAUUGUGAUUCUAGUGAAAACGUUAAGCUCCAUUACUGUUUUUAUUGUUGGUUUCCAGAAAAACACUACAUACUAUCUCAUAAUGUCUGUUUUACCUGUCUACAAUAGGCUCCUUCAACUUUGUCCUUUUUUCCUUCUCCCUAUCAAAUAUGUUUAUGAAAGUGAGAACCCCUUGCAUUUUGUCUGACUUCAAGUUGACAGGGACGACUUCUUACUCAAGCGUGUAUCUAUGUGGUUGUUUCUGACAUAUAUCAGAAGGUUCAACAAUCCUGGGGCUACUCCUGUGUAGCACUGAAAGGGUUGUGACAUUGCUGCAGUGGCGGUCGGUGUGGGGGUUGUGGCCUCUGCUGCUCCUGAUGCACCAGCCUCGUGUGCCUGAGAUGUUUGUGUGGCUGCGCAUGCUCUUACCCUAGCUUCUGCUCCUCGUCCCUAUGCCUCUCUACUAGCUGCAUGCUCCUUCCUGGAGCAUCUAUGUGGAUGGAAGGACCUUUUUUUGCAUGUACUGAUCGAGAUGGAGGUCCGGUAACUGGGAGACAGACACAAGUCUUCUACUGUGUACAGUUUGCUUGUGCAAAGUGUAUGUUAUGAGUAUUGAGGAAUUUGUGGUUUGAUCUACUGCUGCUACUGUAUUAUAAAUUUAUUCAGCUGAUCAUAUAUAUUCAACCUGAUAGAAGGGUGAGAGAUCCAUGUACUGCUACUGAGUUCUUUGUGUGCCAAAACUGAGAGAAUGGCUGUUGAGUGAUGCACCUACUGCCUUUUUUCUUUUCA